AGUUAAAUAAUUUAUAAUAAAAAUAUUAAGUUGCAAACUUAAAAAAAGACCCGUCUUUUAGCUU
RNAcentral lists this transfer RNA (64 nucleotides) under Succinea erythrophana. Its description in RNAcentral is "tRNA-Cys". The record is from RNAcentral. Lineage: Eukaryota; Metazoa; Mollusca; Gastropoda; Stylommatophora; Succineidae.